UACAGAGGUCUCGAGCGUUAAUCGGAAUUACUGGGCUUAAAGGGUGCGUAGGCGGUCCCGUAAGUGCCUUGUGAAAUCCCAUGGCUCAACCAUGGAAUUGCUCGGUAGACUGCGGGACUUGAGGUCGGUAGAGGUCGCUGGAACUCUAGGUGGAGCGGUGAAAUGCGUAGAUAUCUAGAGGAACGCCAAAGGUGUAGACAGGCGACUGGGCCGAUUCUGACGCUGAGGCACGAAAGCGUGGGUAGCGAACGGGAUUAGAUACCCCGGUAGUCCACGCCCUAAACGAUGUGCACUAGAUCGUGGAGGCUCUGACGCUCCCAUGGUCGAAGUUAAAAUGCUAAGUGCACCGCCUGGGGAGUACGGUCGCAAGGCUAAA
Molecule: ribosomal RNA, 376 nt
Filed under: uncultured bacterium
Lineage: Bacteria
Description: bacterial SSU rRNA
Rfam family: Bacterial small subunit ribosomal RNA
Source: RNAcentral